RNAcentral lists this ribosomal RNA (468 nucleotides) under uncultured bacterium. Its description in RNAcentral is "partial 16S ribosomal RNA". It matches the Rfam family "Bacterial small subunit ribosomal RNA", at positions 28 to 507 of the family's 1533-position model. The record is from RNAcentral.
GACGAACGCUGGCGGCGUGCUUAACACAUGCAAGUCGAACGGAAAGGCCCUGCUUUUGUGGGGCGCACGAGUGGCGAACGGGUGAGUAACACGUGAGUAACCUGCCCUUGACUUUGGGAUAACUUCAGGAAACUGGGGCUAAUACCGGAUAGGAGCUCCUGCUCCACGGGGGGGGUUGGAAAGUUUCGGCGGUUGGGGAUGGUCUCGCGGCUUAUCAGCUUGUUGGUGGGGUAGUGGCUUACCAAGGCUUUGACGGGUAGCCGGCCUGGGAGGGUGACCGGCCACAUUGGGACUGAGAUACGGCCCAGACUCCUACGGGAGGCAGCAGUGGGGAAUAUUGCACAAUGGGCGGAAGCCUGAUGCAGCAACGCCGCGUGCGGGAUGACGGCCUUCGGGUUGUAAACCGCUUUCGCCGGUGACGAAGCGUGAGUGACGGUAAUGGGUAAAGAAGCACCGGCUAACUACGUG